AAAACUCCUUCAUCAAUGAAAUAGUACUGCCGCUCUUACAAUCAACACUUCUUCAUUAUCUCCUCAACAAGUUGAAGCUUCCGAAGCUACAAACCUACUAGUAAUUACUUCAACUAGAGGAGAACAUAUAGUUAAUUGCUUAUCUACCUUCGAAGUAGGAUCAACAUCGACUGCAUCUCAUGCUGCAACUAAAUU
Molecule: long non-coding RNA, 195 nt
Organism: Solanum stenotomum
Lineage: Eukaryota; Viridiplantae; Streptophyta; Magnoliopsida; Solanales; Solanaceae
Exons: 3
Source: RefSeq, a predicted model, not a curated record